GUGCUCGCUUCAGCAGCACGUGUACUAAAAUUUUGGACCAAUACAGAGAAGAUUAGCAUGGCCCCUGUGCAAGGAAGACACACAAAUUACAGGCAGUGGUUUGAACUCAG
This is a small nuclear RNA of Ochotona curzoniae (black-lipped pika), 110 nucleotides long. Lineage: Eukaryota; Metazoa; Chordata; Mammalia; Lagomorpha; Ochotonidae. The record is from RefSeq and is a predicted model, not a curated record.